RNAcentral lists this ribosomal RNA (106 nucleotides) under uncultured Fusobacteriaceae bacterium. RNAcentral's name for it is "partial 16S ribosomal RNA". It matches the Rfam family "Bacterial small subunit ribosomal RNA", at positions 392 to 512 of the family's 1533-position model. Lineage: Bacteria; Fusobacteriati; Fusobacteriota; Fusobacteriia; Fusobacteriales; Fusobacteriaceae. The record is from RNAcentral.
CAAUUCUGUGUGCACGAUGACGGUCUUCGGAUUGUAAAGUGCUUUCAGUUGGGAAGAAAGAAAUGACGGUACCAACAGAAGAAGCGACGGCUAAAUACGUGCCAGC